Molecule: long non-coding RNA, 1042 nt
Filed under: Physcomitrium patens
Lineage: Eukaryota; Viridiplantae; Streptophyta; Bryopsida; Funariales; Funariaceae
Description: long non-coding RNA (PPAT_LNC014969)
Source: RNAcentral
UGCAAUACUUAUAACCAAUGAUGGGUGUAUUUUUAGACUCUUUAAUACUUUCUAACAAAGAUUGCUGAUAAAAAAAAAUUGGAUAAAUUUAUUUUAUCAAUUGUGUAGUAAAUGGUAGAAAUUCAAAUAUAAAUCAUCUAAAACUAUGUUUUAGGAUAUUUGUUUUAAUUAUUAUACAAGUUAAAUGUUUAUUAAUCUCAAAAUAUCCAAAUAAAUUUUAUUUAAAAUGCAUAGCCGUUUUAGACUCUUGAAUAGAUUUCCAUCAAUUAAAAACAUGAACCAAGAAACAAAGUUCAGAAAACAAUACUUUGGUUGUCUAAACAAGAGAGUUGUUUUUUUGUCAAUAGUUUAAAAUUGUGGUUUAUAACUAAGAACUCCUAAGAUUCCUUCAACAACAUGGAUAAUAGGAUGUGAAGAAAUUAAAACAUAAUUAAUAAAGCUAAAUAACAAUCUCUUCACAAUUCAAUUAUCAACUAGAACAAUUUAUUUUCCAAAGUACGUAUUAUGCAGUCAGCUAAUUCCAAUAGUUUGAAAUAAACUAAAAAUAAAAAUUUGAAUAUUAGUAUUAAUUUUGUUUUAAUAUUCAACUAUUUAAAAUAUAAAAUCACAUUUUACAUUUUUGAAAUUCUAUUUUGUAAAAAAAUGGCAUUGUUUUGAAAUAACUAAUUGUCCACACAAGGAAUAGUUUGAAUAGAACAUUAAGAAAUAUUCAAGGGAAUUUUGCAGGUACUUUCAUCUUUGUUGAUGCAAUAUAUACUGAUAUCAGUAUUUUAAAUUUUAAAAUGUUAAAGCAAUAUAAAUAGAGAUUCAAUUUUACUAGUAAUUUUUCCUUCACUUCUUCCUACCCUCCUAUUUUCAAUCAUUUUCUCCAAUAAUUCCCAAAUCUGAUUUUAAAAUGUCAUUUUUCUAUUUUAAACUUCUCCCAUAUAGAUAAUCCCAAAGUAUCUCAUUGUUAUAUAUAUUAACUACAAUUAAAUAAAGAAUCAGCAAUUGAGUCUUAUUUCAAACGUCCACUUCAAAACAAAAACACGGCACCCAAGAC